This 611-nucleotide ribosomal RNA is filed under the name uncultured bacterium. Its description in RNAcentral is "bacterial SSU rRNA". It matches the Rfam family "Bacterial small subunit ribosomal RNA", at positions 28 to 621 of the family's 1533-position model. The record is from RNAcentral.
GAUGAACGCUGGCGGCGUGCCUAAUACAUGCAAGUCGAACGCGCAGCGAGAGGUGCUUGCACCUUUCAAGCGAGUGGCGAACGGGUGAGUAACACGUGGAUAACCUGCCUCAAGGCUGGGGAUAACAUUUGGAAACAGAUGCUAAUACCGAAUAAAACUUAGUAUCGCAUGAUAUCAAGUUAAAAGGCGCUACGGCGUCACCUAGAGAUGGAUCCGCGGUGCAUUAGUUAGUUGGUGGGGUAAAGGCUUACCAAGACGAUGAUGCAUAGCCGAGUUGAGAGACUGAUCGGCCACAUUGGGACUGAGACACGGCCCAAACUCCUACGGGAGGCUGCAGUAGGGAAUCUUCCACAAUGGGCGCAAGCCUGAUGGAGCAACGCCGCGUGUGUGAUGAAGGCUUUCGGGUCGUAAAGCACUGUUGUAUGGGAAGAAAUGCUAAAAUAGGGAAUGAUUUUAGUUUGACGGUACCAUACCAGAAAGGGACGGCUAAAUACGUGCCAGCAGCCGCGGUAAUACGUAUGUCCCGAGCGUUAUCCGGAUUUAUUGGGCGUAAAGCGAGCGCAGACGGUUGAUUAAGUCUGAUGUGAAAGCCCGGAGCUCAACUCCGGAAU